RNAcentral lists this ribosomal RNA (718 nucleotides) under uncultured organism. Its description in RNAcentral is "bacterial SSU rRNA". It matches the Rfam family "Bacterial small subunit ribosomal RNA", at positions 22 to 786 of the family's 1533-position model. The record is from RNAcentral.
GCUCAGGAUGAACGCUGGCGGCGUGCUUACACAUGCAAGUCGAACGAAGCCCUCGGGCUUAGUGGCGGACGGGUGAGUAACGCGUGAGAAUCUACCUUCGAGAUGGGGACAACCGUUGGAAACGACGGCUAAUCCCCAAUAAGCCGAAAGGUGAAAGGGUUUCCGCUCGCAGAGGAGCUCGCGUCCGAUUAGUUAGUUGGUGGGGUAAGAGCCUACCAAGGCAGCGAUCGGUAGCUGGUCUGAGAGGAUGAGCAGCCACACUGGGACUGAGACACGGCCCAGACUCCUACGGGAGGCAGCAGUGGGGAAUUUUCCGCAAUGGGCGCAAGCCUGACGGAGCAACGCCGCGUGUGGGAAGAAGGCUCUUGGGCUGUCAACCAGUUUUCUCAGGGAAGAAGUCCUGACGGUACCUGAGGAAUCAGCCUCGGCUAACUCCGUGCCAGCAGCCGCGGUAAUACGGAGGAGGCAAGCGUUAUCCGGAAUUAUUGGGCGUAAAGCGUCCGCAGGGGGCACUUCAAGUCUGCUGUCAAAGGUCGGAGCUUAACUCCGGUUCGGCAGUGGAAACUGGAGUGCUAGAGGGCGACAGGGGUAGAGGGAAUUCCCAGUGUAGCGGUGAAACGCGUAGAGAUUGCGAAGAACACCGGUGGCGAAAGCGCUCUACUGGGUCGCACCUGACCCUCACGGACGAAAGCUAAGGUAGCGAAAGGGAUUAGAUACC